RNAcentral lists this ribosomal RNA (498 nucleotides) under uncultured bacterium. RNAcentral's name for it is "partial 16S ribosomal RNA". It matches the Rfam family "Bacterial small subunit ribosomal RNA", at positions 30 to 523 of the family's 1533-position model. The record is from RNAcentral.
AUUGAACGCUGGCGGCAUGCUUUACACAUGCAAGUCGAACGGCAGCGCGGGGCAACCUGGCGGCGAGUGGCGAACGGGUGAGUAAUAUAUCGGAACGUACCCAGAAGUGGGGGAUAACGUAGCGAAAGUUACGCUAAUACCGCAUACGAUCUACGGAUGAAAGUGGGGGACCUUCGGGCCUCAUGCUUUUGGAGCGGCCGAUAUCUGAUUAGCUAGUUGGUGAGGUAAAGGCUCACCAAGGCGACGAUCAGUAGCUGGUCUGAGAGGACGACCAGCCACACUGGGACUGCAAGACGGGCCAGACUCCUACGGGAGGCAGCAGUGGGGAAUUUUGGACAAUGGGCGCAAGCCUGAUCCAGCAAUGCCGCGUGAGUGAAGAAGGCCUUCGGGUUGUAAAGCUCUUUUGUCAGGGAAGAAACGGCCGAGGAUAAUACCUUCGGCUAAUGACGGUACCUGAAGAAUAAGCACCGGCUAACUACGUGCCAGCCGCCGCAGUAA